CACUUGAGGGUCUUCUUAAAGAAUCCACAAAGUAGAAACUCUCUGAAUCGCUAACUCUCGACUUCUCCGAUGUUUCCGCCUCAAAAAGACGACAUUUCGGCCGAGCUGACCCUGAGGGAAGUUUUUUAUUUUGGCGUGUCUUCAGGCAGAGCAGACAUGUUGGAGUCCCCGCGGCCCGGAUACGAGCGAACUGACCGCAUUCUACCGUGACUCCACAUCAGUCAAAAAGAUAUACGCCACUUCCUCCACACACACACACACACACACACACACACACACACACACGUUUCUACGCGCAGAAAAGGCCUCCAUCCCCGUCUCCAUCAGUCAAGUCCUGCGGCCGAUGAACUUCCAUCGUCUCCAAGCUUGAUAACAAGCCUCUUAAGCUUGGCGGCUAAUCAAGCUCAAAGGAGGGAGAGGGAGAGAUAGUGGAGGAGAACAAGAGGUCUGUGGAUGCAGUCAUCUCUCUCUCUCUCUCCUUCUCCUUCCUCUUCAUUUUCAAUUUGGCCUUAUCUCCCUCUCUCCACAGGGGGAGGCGGAGGGAGGCCUAAUAGCUCAGGAGGGGGGCUGCGGAGUCUCCCCACAUACCAGUCAUUUACUUAAACUGGAGAAGAAGAGAAACGUCCUGAUAAAUCAUCCGGGGUCACUCGGCUUCCAUGUUCCCCCCCCGAGUUACGAAGAUAGAGAGAGAGGAGAAAAAAACGAAGGAAGGAAGAAAAAUGACAGAAAAAGUUAAAACGGUCCGACUUUGAUGUUUGUCCCUCAGACAAACGCAAAAAAAAAAAAAAAGAUUUCAACAGAAAUCAAGAGGCGGCGGCGGUGGCUGCUCCGCUAAUGUAGGUCAGCGCUGAAAAAAUGAGCGCGGAUUAACUCGGCUUCUGUUUCAUGGACUGAAACAAACUCAAGUGUGAAGAUCAUCAUAGGAUGAACACGGGUGACGCAAACUAGAGACGUGUUCGAAGAGCAGCUCCCCAACAACUCACGCCAAGGUAGCCAAUCAGUGAAGAGCUUCCCUGAUGAUGUUCAUCAAAAAUGGACGGGUGGAGGUUUGUUAAUCUGAAAAAUGGAGGAAGAACUGAUCGUGACGGUCAAAUAGAAACAAAAAGAAACUUUUUAAACCAAAAUAUUCAAACCUUCAAAUCUAGAAAAUUUCCAUAUCAGUGUCCGGUGUGAACACGACUUCACUGUUCCAGAUUUGAGCCUCAGUGUCAUCUACGAUCACUCAGUUUACAUUCAAACAUCACAGGAAGUUAUGAGACCAUUUUUUCUCUCUCUGAGUAUAUCUGAAAAAUACAUGGAAAUGUCGGAUAGCUUUUUUAUAAUUGAUGGACGGCGUUUGUCAAAUGUACCUGGACAUCACUCCCCGCUACUGUAGCCGAAAAGUUAAGAGACAGUAUUGGGGUUAGGGUUUAAGUUAAUGUCCAGGACCUUUUAGAAGCACGUUUUAGACCAUUUGGAGUCAACUUGUACAAAAAAAAAAGGAAAUAUGUCAAAAUUUUUUCAAGUGUUGGGGUUACGUUGGGGUAAAGUUGGGUUUAGGAUUAAGGUUUAAGAAAAGCGUCACAAAAGUUAACCUAAAGCUGAGGUGGAAAAAAGAAACUCAGCAGAAAUAUAUUUUUUUAAAUCUGAUAAAGAAAAAAGUUUGACGGAGUGUCAGUAAUCUAUGAUCUACGAAAACAUCGUCCUCCAUCCAACAAACCUGUAAUAAUUACAUCCAUUAGUAAAAUUACAGUGUGAUUUAUUUCAUUCAUUAUCUCAGUUUAUCCAAUUAACCCUCUCUUCAUAAAAACUAGUUUUGGACUUGGACAGGGGUCGUCUCAUACUGAGGGUUCGCAGAGGUCACAGAUGUACACAUUCAUAUAGUUUCUCUUCCUCUCUUCCUCUCUCUCUCUCUCAUCGAUUUCCCACGGCUCUCUUACCUCACCCUCUCUCCCCCCUGAGCCUCCCUCUCCUCUCUGCAGCUCUGUCAGCUCUCCGUCUCCAAUCACCUCCUCUCGCCUUCGUCCCACUCAGACUCCUGAGAUCACCACCUGCUCUCUCCUGCUCUCUUUAUUCACCGUUUCAGGUUUGAACAAACGUGACCUUGACUCCUGACAUUAAAGUCUUUCAAUGACAUGUUGGUGGAUUUGCGUGUAUCAGAGAAGUCAUGAGGAUAUAUUCACUCAGUCGUGCUGCCGGUGGACGCCAUUUCUCUCCUGUUUGGCACAUCCUCAGGAGAAAGACUGGUCCAUUAUAUCAGUCAAUCUUAACACGAGUCUCAUGUUGUCUUUAUGACUGGAGUCUAAUCUUAUUAUUUUAGCAGCUUGGAUGAAUUUGCCCUCAGGACACUUUCAGAGAGGACUGACCCCCAACCUCCACCACAUCCUAAAAGGUCGUAUCCUCCGAUCGUAGCUGAUCGUAACCAUUCAAGUUAACGUGUCAAUUCCCACCGACUUCUUUCCGUUCCUCUGCGGAUCGCCGGACUUCUCAGCUGAUCAUAAGAGUUCAAGUGAAAGGUUUUUAGACGUCAUUUCACCCCGAUGACACCAUGGAUGAGGAGAUGCUGAUUCUAGAAGUCUAGAAGUAGAUUUCCUCCUCUGGAAGGACAAAAUCUACUGCUUAUAUGGUUCCGGUUGCUGUGGUAAUCCUGGGUGACUGUAUGAACCUCGACAGUACAGCAGUUAUAUUCAACAGAACAGGAUGUAGUUUUAUUUUGACGAGGUUUGAAGGACAAAGUCUGUUUUUUACAUCUGUGUAACGCUGAGGUUAAAUGAACUCCAUGUAUAUUUAUGUUUUUAAUGUUUCUGUGUGUAAAGAUUUUGAUCAAACCUACUUCUGUUGUUUUAUUUAGAUUAUUUUAACAGCUGGACGUCUAAAAUCCGGUUUAAUGUUAAAUCCUGAAUAAUUUCCUCUGUUACAAAAACUGUUUUGAGCAGAAACAACUCUGAGAUUUAUCAAUUUAACAAAGUUAAAGAGCUGAAUCUGGAGACGUGUGACAUCAUGUGUUUUUAACUUCAUUUCACACACACACACACACACACACACACACACACACACACACACACACACACACACACACACACACAUUCCUCUCAGCCUCAUUCUCAGAAACAGAGGCAACAUUAUACCAUUAAGGCGCUCACUAAUCAUGUCCGACCUUUUUUCCUCCUCACGUCUUAAUCUGUCUCAACUAAACCCGCCAUUAGUGGGACCCCAUCCCCCAAACACACACACACACACACACACACACACACACACACACACACGGUCAUCUGUCCUCCCCCAACACCCAAUAAAUGCCCAUGAAUUACAACCCCAAUCCCAAAAGUAGGAACACCGUCAGAUCUGUUGAUAGAAACGAGUGAAAAGACGAUUAAAGACGAAUAAAGACGAAUAAAGACUCGCUCUGAAUUCAAAGACUACAACAUGUUUUUAAAAAAGUGUUGACAACAAAACAAAACAGAUAAAAAGUUCUUCUGAUAGAGAAACAACCAAACAGGUCAACAGUGGUGUAACGGUAUAAAAACAUCUGGAGGAACAUCUCAAACCAAUGAGGUGGACUGUCAGAGAUUUCUGCAGGGAUCACAACAGCAUGGAUCAGUAGUAGAAGAGUCCUGCUGCUAAACCGGCCUCUCUGGAGUCCUGAUUUGUCCUCCGUUGAACAUAUUUGUUACUUCUUGAAAUUAAAGAUGCGACAAAGAAGAAGAUCCUAAACUGUUGAGAAGUUUGUUUGAUCAGGUUCCCGAACACUUACAGCAUCGUCAAAGACCAUCAGAUUUCACAGUUAUGACCCUGAUCCGACCCGACUGAAGACCCCGUCCUUCCAGCGGCCUCACGUCCUGAUCCUUAAAUGGACGAGCUGAAAACCCGUUAGUGUCUCUGGAGUGAUUUCUGCGCCUCUUCACAGUCAGCGAGGAGAGAGAACAUGUAAAAUCGAGAAGCAACAAAACGACCGAAGAGGAACGAAGAACAUGAAGAGGUGAAGGUUCAGAGAUCUUCAUUUAUUUAUCCUUCAGAGCGAUGAUAAGUCACUGUGCCGGGGUCUUUGUACAGCAAAGGAUUAUGGGUCAUUAAGGAGAGGAACCGGAUCAUAACAAAGUGUUGUUGUGAAAAAUUAGACCUCCUCUCAGACGUGAUGCAGCGAUUAAACCGAAACACCAUGACCUUCUGUGUGUGACCUUCCUGAAUAUACACACACACGCACGCCCUCACACACGUAUCCCAUGAUUCCUCAGGUGUCAUCAUAACUCCUCCGUCUUGUAAACGUCGGCGCUGUUAAAUCCUGCCGAGGUUGAACCCCGCGGAGACAUUUUUCUCCACGGCUUCACCUCGUACUGAAAAGUAAAUGUUUAAGCGAGCGAGGAUAAACAGAGCUAAAUCAUCUUCCCGGGCCGCGAGCGCACACCUUCGGGGGGAACGGAGGGAUUCUGGGAAAUAAAAGUUGUCCCUUGGCUGUAUCUCCGGGAGCAUCAGGAGCGUGACAGGUUUGUCUGGAAGGAAUUUCAAACAAAAGACGCACAAUCGUUGACCCUCAGAGCUCGUCGGCCCGGAGAACACGGCGAUCUGAUGAUGGCGUUUAUUUUAAAAUGCAUCAAAUCACCUGAAUCUGGACUCUAACGGUGGAUUAAAAACGUUUAUGAACGCAUGAAUGUAGGGAAGUUUGUGUGGAGGGAUGAACUGAACAGGGACUUCAGAUCAGAGCUGCACAGUUUUCACAGUUUCAACCAUCGAAAAGGUCUGAAUGCAUCAAAAUAAUGUGACUAAAACAAAAACCUGCAUUUAUCAGGUGGACAUUCUUGUUUUUCCAAAACUUUAUACAUCUAUACUGUCAACACUGAACUUUAGAGACGUGACAAAACGUGUUCAAUAUCGAAUUAAAUGAAAUCAGUUAAUGAGACGUGAGCAAAGAUCGUGAGAUUAGUCAUGUGUAGGUGAGAGUGUCCAGAACGGCAACGAAAAGGUCGUAUCCGCCGAUCUUAGCUGAUCGGAACCAUUCAGGUUAAUGGGCUCUAUUUUGGUGUCCUCCGGGAGAGGUGUCGACAGAAUCAGCGGGCGCAGUGACAUUUUCGUGCUCGCUGCCGGCGUGUAAAGUGCACUGAAAGCUCGCCGUUUCAAACCUGGGCAGGCGGAGCGGAGCUGGUCUAGAGGUAUUUUGGUAGCGCGUUUGGACACUUAACCUGACCGAACCAACACAUCUGAAACCACGUUUAAUUAAAGUAAAUAUCUAGUAAAUAAACACAUGAUAAAGUUAACAAGUUUUUUAAUUCGUCUCCCUCCUUUUCUUUCUUCCUCUUAUUUCUCGCGCAGCUCGACCUCGACAGUCGGAUCGUAUUUCACACCAUGCGAACGGGCGGAGACGAACAAGUGAAAGGUUUUUAGACGUCAUUUCAUCCCGAUGACACCAUGGAUGAGGAGAUGCUGAUUCUAGAAGUCUAGAAGUAGAUUUCCUCCUCUGGAAGGACACAAUCUACUGCUUAUACGGUUAUCCUCUGUGGCUAAAGACAAUUCGUUAUCAAGAGGCUCCUUUUCUUUUCAUUAGGAAAACUCAAAGACCUGAACCUUCCUCACCAAAAAGGACUUUCUUUUUAAACGGACCCACGAUGUCGGGAAGACUGAGCGACCCGGUCAGCGUCUGUGGGAAACACUAUCAGCUCUGAUUCAGAAUGAAACUUUCUCCUCCUGGGAUGUAAACACUGAUUAGACUUUUUAUUUCACAAUUCCCCUCCUCUGAAACCCAAACAGUUCAUUAGAGUAAUCGGAGGGUUCAGGGUCUGUGUGGCCGGGAGGACGGGCGGACAGGCGGGCGGUUACACGCCUCAGAGAGCCGUGACCUGAACGAGGUUUACGGUAAACAAAACCUCCGAGCGUUUUAACAAGGAAGUUUAUCUGUUUUGGUUCAUUAAAAAACUAAAGAUGCAAAAAAAAACUCAGUUUUGAUGAAAGUAUUUCAUUAAGAAAUAUCGAUAAGAUGUUCAGUUAUUCAGGAGCUCCAGUUUGUCUGUUUCCUGUUCGAUAAAGAUUAUAAAUUAAUCAAACUAUCAUGUUUCCGAUGACGGUCAGACGUAUAAUCGAUCUCAACAUCCUCAGAUCUUCCUCAGAUUUCCUCAUUCUGCUCUUUUCAGGAGCUCCAACCAUGACCAUCCACCUCUCAAACCUGCACCAGGAGGCGUAGCUCGGUCCGUACAGUAGGCCUGAUGUUUAUUUGGAAGUACGGUGGCCUGCACAGACCGCGGCCCUCCCUCCCUCCUUCCCUCCUUCCCUACUCCCUCACCUCCUCCUCCCCUCCUCCCCCCUUCAGUAUCUCUCUGCUCCCAGGAAGCUGCCGGGCUUGGCUGGAGCCAGAGUUCUGCCCCAUCCAUCAUCCUUAUCAGGGAGAGACUGGCUGCACCGAGGAGAGGAGGAGGAGGAGGAGGAGGAGGAGGAGGAGGAGGAGAAGGAGGAGGAGGAGGAGCGAGAGGGAGGAGAAGAAGUUUUAAAAAUGAAGUAAAAGACGACAAAACCAAAAAGUGUGGAUCUUUAGUUUUAAAAAGUGUGGUGGAUGUGGUCGGGGGUAAGAUCAGGGGUGAGGUGAAUGAGUGAG
RNAcentral lists this long non-coding RNA (6559 nucleotides) under Xyrichtys novacula (pearly razorfish). The record is from RNAcentral. Lineage: Eukaryota; Metazoa; Chordata; Actinopteri; Labriformes; Labridae.